CGCUGGCGGCGUGCCUAAUACAUGCAAGUCGAACGCACUCUCGUUUAGAUUGAAGGAGCUUGCUCCUGAUUGAUAACAUUUGAGUGAGUGGCGGACGGGUGAGUAACACGUGGGUAACCUGCCCUAAAGUGGGGAUAACAUUUGGAAACAGAUGCUAAUACCGCAUAAAACCUAACACCGCAUGGUGUAGGGUUGAAAGAUGGUUUCGGCUAUCCCUUUAGGAUGGACCCGCGGUGCAUUAGUUAGUUGGUGAGGUAAAGGCUCACCAAGACCGUGAUGCAUAGCCGACCUGAGAGGGUAAUCGGCCACACUGGGACUGAGACACGGCCCAGACUCCUACGGGAGGCAGCAGUAGGGAAUCUUCCACAAUGGACGAAAGUCUGAUGGAGCAACGCCGCGUGAGUGAAGAAGGUUUUCGGAUCGUAAAACUCUGUUGUUGGAGAAGAAUGUAUCUGAUAGUAACUGAUCAGGUAGUGACGGUAUCCAACCAGAAAGCCACGGCUAACUACGUG
This 512-nucleotide ribosomal RNA is filed under the name uncultured bacterium. RNAcentral's name for it is "bacterial SSU rRNA". It matches the Rfam family "Bacterial small subunit ribosomal RNA", at positions 34 to 507 of the family's 1533-position model. The record is from RNAcentral.